GCCGGUUUGGCUCAGUAGAUAGAGCAUUGAGCUGUGGACUGAAGGGUCCUGGUUCUAAUCCAGCCAAGGGCA
Molecule: transfer RNA, 72 nt
Filed under: Myotis davidii
Lineage: Eukaryota; Metazoa; Chordata; Mammalia; Chiroptera; Vespertilionidae
Rfam family: tRNA
About the family: Transfer RNA (tRNA) molecules are approximately 80 nucleotides in length.
Source: Rfam by way of RNAcentral